GAUGAACGCUGGCGGCGUGCCUAAUACAUGCCAGUCGAGCGAACGGAUGAGAAGCUUGCUCCUCUGACGUUAGCGGCGGACGGGUGAGUAACACGUGGAUAACCUACCUAUAAGACUGGGAUAACUUCGGGAAACCGGAGCUAAUACCGGAUAAUAUAUUGAACCGCAUGGUUCAAUAGUGAAAGACGGUCUUGCUGUCACUUAUAGAUGGAUCCGCGCUGCAUUAGCUAGUUGGUAAGGUAACGGCUUACCAAGGCAACGAUGCAUAGCCGACCUGAGAGGGUGAUCGGCCACACUGGAACUGAGACACGGUCCAGACUCCUACGGGAGGCAGCAGUAGGGAAUCUUCCGCAAUGGGCGAAAGCCUGACGGAGCAACGCCGCGUGAGUGAUGAAGGUCUUCGGAUCGUAAAACUCUGUUAUUAGGGAAGAACAAAUGUGUAAGUAACUGUGCACAUCUUGACGGUACCUAAUCAGAAAGCCACGGCUAACUACGUG
RNAcentral lists this ribosomal RNA (497 nucleotides) under uncultured bacterium. RNAcentral describes it as "partial 16S ribosomal RNA". It matches the Rfam family "Bacterial small subunit ribosomal RNA", at positions 28 to 507 of the family's 1533-position model. The record is from RNAcentral.